Molecule: ribosomal RNA, 457 nt
Filed under: uncultured bacterium
Lineage: Bacteria
Description: partial 16S ribosomal RNA
Rfam family: Bacterial small subunit ribosomal RNA
Source: RNAcentral
CCUACGGGUGGCAGCAGUGGGGAAUAUUGCACAAUGGGGGAAACCCUGAUGCAGCGACGCCGCGUGGGUGAAGAAGGAUUUCGGUUUGUAAAGCCCUAUCAGCAGGGAAGAAAUAAAGUCCUUCGGAAUUUGGACGGUCCCUUACUAAGAAGCCCCGGCUAACUGCGUGACAGCAGCCGCGGUAAUACGUAGGGGGCAAGCGUUGUCCGGAUUUACUGGGUGUAAAGGGAGCGUAGACGGCAGCGCAAGUCUGGAGUGAAAUCACAGGGCUUAACCAUGGAACUGCUUUGGAAACUGUGCAGCUGGAGUGCAGUAGAGGUAAGCGGAAUUCCUAGUGUAGCGGUGAAAUGCGUAGAUAUUAGGAGGAACACCAGUGGCGAAGGCGGCUUACUGGACUUUAACUGACGCUGAGGCUCGAAAGCGUGGGGAGCAAACAGGAUUAGAUACCCCAGUAGUC